Molecule: long non-coding RNA, 2357 nt
Filed under: Homo sapiens (human)
Lineage: Eukaryota; Metazoa; Chordata; Mammalia; Primates; Hominidae
Description: non-protein coding lnc-SNAPC5-6:1
Source: RNAcentral
GUCGCGGACGCCGUGGCGCCCUCUGUCGCCCCGAGGCAAGCAGGUGGACCCAGCUGAGAAGAAGUCUGUGUCGCUGUGUGGUGAGCUCUCCAGGCCAGGUGCCGCGCGGCCUCCACCUCUGCGGUAACCGGCCUGCCCCCGACCCCUGUCCCCAAGCCGAGCCGUGUUGACGAAAAUGAAAUAACAAAAUAAAUAAGGAAAAGGACCCCUUCCUGUGUCCAGAGGAGAGGCAGCGUGGGGAAUAGGAAACUUGUCGAGAGGCUCCUUUGAGCCCAACAAACUGACGCAUAUAAAUUUUGUUUGUUUAAUGGUAAUACUACUGAGAAGGGUGCAAGGAAAUGGAUACUCAGUGCUGAUGAGAUUGUAAAUUGUUGCGACAGUUUUUGAGAGCAGAUUGAUGAUUUUUUUUUUUUUAGACUUGGGAACUUUUUUUUUUUUAAGACGGUGUCUCCCUCAGUUGCCCAGCCUGGAGUGUAGUGGCGCGAUCUCCGCUAACUACCACCUCUGCCUCCCACGUUCAAGCGAUUCUCCUGCCUCAGUCUCCUGAGUAGCUGGGAUUACAGGCACUCGCCGUCAUGCCCGGAUCCUUUUUGUAUUUUUGUAGAAACGGGUUUUCACCAUGUUGGCAAUAUUUUUUUAAAGCCUUAAAAACACUCUUUCGGGCCAGGAGCGGUGGCUCACGCCUGUAAUCCCAAUUUUGGGAGGCCCAGGCAAGAGGAUCACUUGAGCCCAGGAGUUCGAGACUAGCCUGGGCAACAUAGUGAGUCCCCCGUCUCUAUUAGCUGGGCAUGGUUGUGUGCAGCUGUCGUCCAAGCUACUGAGGAGGCUGAGGCUGGAGGAUCACUUGAGCCCAGGAGUUUGAGGCUGCAGUGAGCUAUGAUCACACCACUGCACACCAGCCAGGGCUACAGAGCAAGACUCCCUUUAAAAAAACUUUCAUCCAGGCCAGGCGCGGUGGCUCACGCCUGUAAUUCCAGAACUUUGGGAGGCCGAGACGGGUGGAUCACGAGGUCAGGAGUUCAAGACCAGCCUGGCCAAGAUGGUGAAACCCAUCUCUACUAAAAAUACAAAAAAUUAGCUGGGCGUGGUGGCGGGUGCCUGUAAUCCCAACUACUUGGGGGGCUGAGGCAGAGAAUUGCUUGAACUCGGGAGGCGGAGGUUGCAGUGAUCCAAGAUCACACCACUGCACUCCAGCCUGGGCGACAGAGUGAGACCCCGUCUCAAAAAAAAAAAGAACUUUAAUCCAAAAAUUCCAAUUCUGUGAAUUACUAAAGAAAUAAGAUGUGAAUAAAGAGCUUAAUAAGAGGCACAAUACCCAUUUAAAAGUGCACAUUCAGUGUUCCUCUUCCCCUUUCCCAUCCUAAAAUACUAAGUGUCAAAGACAUUAGGUGUACAGAACAAAGGAAACGUGUACAGAACAAAGGAAACAUCUACACCUGGUUAUCCACAGCCAGGUGUUGGUGACCUAGCAGGUAAGGAGGCUGAGGAACCUGAGAAAAUGAAGAGGGCUUGAACACCUGGGAGGCAGUCCUACACAAAGUCUUAGCCGUAGGGCCCAAGAGGGGAGAACAAGGCAUCCAAGUGGGGAAGGCCUAGAAGCUUAGAUGGGAGGUUAGUUGCAUUCAGGAUGGUUGAUUAAGUCACUAAAUAUAUUAAGCAUGACAGAGCCAGCUUUCUCACUGUGGUAGAAUGACGUUAGAAGUAUGGGAAGGGAGAAUACCUUACGCUAUUGUAUUGGAAUUGGAGGUAUCAGUGUGAACUCAUUGUUUUGUUUUGUUUUUUGGGGGGGUGUUUUUGUUUUGUUUUGUUUUUGUUUUUGAGUGGCGUUUUGCUCUUUUUGCCCAGGCUUGAGUGCAAUGGCGCAACCUUGGCUCAUUGCAACCUCCACCUCCCAAGCUCAAGUGAUUCUCCUGCCUCAGCCUCCCAAGUAGCUGGGAUUACAGGCAUGCACCACCAUGCCUGGCUAAUUUUGUAUUUUUAGUAGAGACAGGAUUUCACCAUGUUGGCCAGGCUGGUCUCAAACUCCUGACCUCAGGUGAUCCGCCCACCUCGGCCUCCCAAAGUGCUGGGUUUACAGGCGUGAGCCACUGCGCCCGGCCUGAACUCAUAGUUUUUUAAAAAAUAAAUUAUUCUGGGUGGAUGCAGUGGCGGCUACCACCUGUAAUCCCAGCACUUUGUGAGGCCAAAGCUGGAAGAUCACUUGAGGUCAGGACUUCAAGAUCAGCCUGGCCAACAUGGUGAAACCCCGUCUCUACUAAAUUACAAAAAUUAGCCAGGCAUGGUGGUGGGCACCUGUAAUCCCAGCUACUCAGGAGGCUGAGGCAGGAUAAUUGCCUGAACCAGGGAGGCAGAGUUUG